RNAcentral lists this ribosomal RNA (253 nucleotides) under uncultured bacterium. RNAcentral's name for it is "partial 16S ribosomal RNA". It matches the Rfam family "Bacterial small subunit ribosomal RNA", at positions 524 to 776 of the family's 1533-position model. The record is from RNAcentral.
UACGUAGGGGACUAGCGUUGUUCGGAAUUACUGGGCGUAAAGCGCACGUAGGCGGAUUUGUUAGUCAGGGGUGAAAUCCCGAGGCUCAACCUCGGAACUGCCUUUGAUACUGCAGAUCUCGAGUCCGGAAGAGGUGAGUGGAAUUCCUAGUGUAGAGGUGAAAUUCGUAGAUAUUAGGAAGAACACCAGUGGCGAAGGCGGCUCACUGGUCCGGUACUGACGCUGAGGUGCGAAAGCGUGGGUAGCAAACAGG